GAGUUUGAUCCUGGCUCAGAACGAACGCUGGCGGCGUGCUUAACACAUGCAAGUCGAACGUGAUCCGGAGCUUGCUCCGGUGAAAGUGGCGCACGGGUGAGUAACGCGUGGAUAAUCUGCCCUGGUAUCUGGGAUAACAUCUCGAAAGGGGUGCUAAUACCGGAUAAGCCUACGGGAUCUUCGGAUCCUGCAGGAAAAGGAGGCCUCUAUUUAUAAGCUUCCGUAUCAUGAUGGGUCCGCGUACCAUUAGCUAGUUGGUGGGGUAAUGGCCUACCAAGGCGACGAUGGUUAGCUGGUCUGAGAGGAUGAUCAGCCACACUGGAACUGAGACACGGUCCAGACUCCUACGGGAGGCAGCAGUGGGGAAUUUUGCGCAAUGGGGGAAACCCUGACGCAGCAACGCCGCGUGAGUGAUGAAGGCUUUCGGGUCGUAAAGCUCUGUCAGAGGGGAAGAAAUGAAACGUGCUAAUAUCACGUYUUCUUGACGGUACCCUCAAAGGAAGCACCGGCUAACUCCGUGCCAGCAGCCGCGGUAAUACAAGGGCGMMY
RNAcentral lists this ribosomal RNA (549 nucleotides) under uncultured Geobacteraceae bacterium. RNAcentral's name for it is "bacterial SSU rRNA". It matches the Rfam family "Bacterial small subunit ribosomal RNA", at positions 9 to 537 of the family's 1533-position model. The record is from RNAcentral. Lineage: Bacteria; Pseudomonadati; Thermodesulfobacteriota; Desulfuromonadia; Geobacterales; Geobacteraceae.